UCCCUGGUGGCUCAGACGGUAAAGAAUCCCCCUGCAAUGGGGGAGACCUGGGUUCGAUCCCUGGCUUGGGAA
This 72-nucleotide transfer RNA is filed under the name Bos taurus (domestic cattle). It matches the Rfam family "tRNA". From Rfam's summary of the family: Transfer RNA (tRNA) molecules are approximately 80 nucleotides in length. Their secondary structure includes four short double-helical elements and three loops (D, anti-codon, and T loops). RNAcentral also lists the same sequence under 2 other names. The record is from Rfam by way of RNAcentral. Lineage: Eukaryota; Metazoa; Chordata; Mammalia; Artiodactyla; Bovidae.